Non-coding RNA from Cucurbita pepo subsp. pepo (vegetable marrow), 182 nucleotides. Lineage: Eukaryota; Viridiplantae; Streptophyta; Magnoliopsida; Cucurbitales; Cucurbitaceae. The record is from RefSeq and is a predicted model, not a curated record.
AGGGAGUCAUCUAAGAAUGCAGAAAACAACCAAUCCAUUGCUCUAACUCCAUCAACAUUGACAGAAGAACUCGAAAUUGGACACUCCAACCAGACAGAGCAUGUGGAGGCCGAAAAUAGUUCUCUCAGAGAUACAAUUUCUUGGACGCAAGGUACAAGUCAAUUUGCUGCUUGUGAACUUGU